Molecule: microRNA precursor, 61 nt
Organism: Human immunodeficiency virus 1
Lineage: Riboviria; Pararnavirae; Artverviricota; Revtraviricetes; Ortervirales; Retroviridae
Rfam family: Trans-activation response element (TAR)
About the family: The TAR hairpin acts as a binding site for the Tat protein and this interaction stimulates the activity of the long terminal repeat promoter. Further experiments have shown that TAR acts as a miRNA that protects against apoptosis.
Source: Rfam
GGGUCUCUCUUGUUAGACCAGAUUUGAGCCUGAGAGCUCUCUGGCUAGCUAGAGAACCCAC